CAUGUCCCAGCUUCUGCUUUCUCUUCCCCAGCUAGAUCUUCUUGGAUGUAUUCCACCACGGUUCCCUUCCUUCACUGCAGUCAUUACAUCUGGGGAUACUUCACUUAAUUCACCAUCCUUUAUGUUCAUGCGAUCAUUGUUUGUGAGUUGCCCUUCACCAUGAUCAGCCAUAGCACCCAUAUCUCCCCAAACCGUUUUCCUUCCCAUUUCUAUGUCAUCCACAGCUUUCCCCAUAUUAGGACUCAUGAAACCUCCACCAAUUGGUCGAGUUGGUAAAGGUUCUCUUGGUACCUUUGCCCCGAAAUUGUUCUUGGAAGGAGGAAUACUGGAGCAAAAGAUUUCUUUAAAGUUCUCAACCACGCCUUUAUUAUAGGGAUUUGCUCUCCUAUCAUAUCGGUAUCUAAAAUUCUCGUAAG
RNAcentral lists this unclassified non-coding RNA (416 nucleotides) under Hevea brasiliensis (rubber tree). Lineage: Eukaryota; Viridiplantae; Streptophyta; Magnoliopsida; Malpighiales; Euphorbiaceae. The record is from RNAcentral.